UACGGGGGGGAGCAAGCGUUGUUCGGAUUUACUGGGCGUAAAGCGUGCGCAGGCGGUUCGUUAAGUCAGCUGUGAAAGCCCCCGGGCUCAACCUGGGAAUUGCGGUUGAAACUGGCGAACUAGAAUCUGGCAGAGGGGGGGUGGAAUUCCACGUGUAGCAGUGAAAUGCGUAGAGAUGUGGAGGAACACCGAUGGCGAAGGCAGCCCCCCUGGGCUGAGAUUGACGCUCAGGCACGAAAGCGUGGGGAGCAAACAGG
RNAcentral lists this ribosomal RNA (257 nucleotides) under uncultured bacterium. Its description in RNAcentral is "partial 16S ribosomal RNA". It matches the Rfam family "Bacterial small subunit ribosomal RNA", at positions 524 to 776 of the family's 1533-position model. The record is from RNAcentral.